AUCAGAUGAGCCUAGGUCGGAUUAGCUAGUUGGUGAGGUAAUGGCUCACCAAGGCGACGAUCCGUAACUGGUCUGAGAGGAUGAUCAGUCACACUGGAACGGAGACACGGUCCAGACUCCUACGGGAGGCAGCAGUGGGGAAUAUUGGACAAUGGGCGAAAGCCUGAUCCAAAAGGGCCGCGUGUGUGAAGAAGGUCUUCGGAUGUAAAGCAAUUGAGUGGGAGGAAGGGCAGUUACCUAAUACGUGAUGUUUGA
RNAcentral lists this ribosomal RNA (255 nucleotides) under uncultured bacterium. Its description in RNAcentral is "partial 16S ribosomal RNA". It matches the Rfam family "Bacterial small subunit ribosomal RNA", at positions 220 to 472 of the family's 1533-position model. The record is from RNAcentral.